AGUAGCUGCUGAUUGUUUUGCUGCGAGUGAAUCUGAAAGAACGCUCCCUGUUCAUGAUUAUUCCGCUGUAUCUUCGUGAAAUUUCGGUGAAAUCUGAAAGGGACGUUGCUGAUUCUACUUUCCAAAGAAAACUAUCGACUUCUUAUUUCAAUUCACGCAAAGAAAUCUUCUCCUUUCAUAAUCACAAUACUUUUCCCCAAAAUUAAUCACAAUAUUCUUUCCCCAAAUCAAAUCGUCAAAAUGAUCGAACUAUACUGUGGUAUUCUGCCAAAUUUUGUUACCAAAUAAGAAUUUUUAGGUUUCUAAACGAAGAAGAAAUUUCAGGGUGACGGACGAAUAACAUUGUGAUUCUGAAAUUAAUAGCUGAACAAGACUAUGAUUCCAUCUUAGAAAAAAUUAAUCAGCUGAGAUUUGGAUUUCAGCGUCACCUACAAAGUAUUCCAUAUUUCACAAGGCAGAGUACAAAUGGAUGCUUCCAUCCCCAGACCCGUACAAGAUCAAGACUCAUCGAGCAGGCUAAGCGUCAAGAGCUAGAACAUCCAGAAGAUAAGAGAAAAAGAUAGGAAAAUGACUGUAGUGUUUACAAGAGAAUAGAAAACACCUUUGCAUCAGAAAAUGAUAGGCAUCAAUGUUAGAAUACCGCCGUAUCCGCGAUAUAGAGAAGAAGUGCAUUGACUCGAGAACAAAAAGAAAGAAAUCGUGAAGGUUGUCCUUCUGCUUACCUUAAGCGGCAGCAACAAACAGUUGUAGGUGAGAGUAAAGAUACGAAUCGAGAAACAAGCACCACGGAUGCUUCGGCAUCUACCACAUCUACUUAACAACUCGACAGAGGUACUUCUGCUGGAUACUUUUUUUUUGCAGACCUGUCUCUGCUGACAAGGAGCUGUCAAUAUUGUUGUGAUGAUGUCACAAAUGGAAAGUGGAUGUAUAUGAAGGGUACCAAUUAUUCUCAAAGCAAGAUCAGAAGAAGAUGAAACAGAGAGUCAUCAAAUCGAGGUGUUUUUAGAAGAAUAAGGUUUUGCGGCGAAAUUGGCUGAAAAUGCGGCGUUUGGAACUCCGUUGAUAGAGUACCGGAAGCACCUCAGAAAUACCCCGGAGGAACCCCGAAAAAGUGCGGAAAAUGUCCCAGAAAACUCACUAUACGGACCCUCGAUUUUGGAUAAGGGGUGACCCAUUUCCAGGAAGCUGCUAAAGGGACACCGGAGCUGGAUAGGGGGCAUCUCUUCUUCACAUUUCAAAUGAAGUUUUGGCGGGAAAGUGAGUUUGUUAACAGUUUUUGAUAGGAAUUUUUGAAGGAGCUAUAGUGCGAUUAAAGGGAUGAAAAUGUUUGGGCUUACUCUAUGGACUUAUAGGAAGCUAACAGGGGUGAUUUUAAGGGCCAGAAGUGGCUGGAUAAGCCGUGAGAACCGAUUGGAGAUAAAA
Papaver somniferum (opium poppy) is the source of this 1422-nucleotide long non-coding RNA. RefSeq lists it as uncharacterized. Lineage: Eukaryota; Viridiplantae; Streptophyta; Magnoliopsida; Ranunculales; Papaveraceae. The transcript is spliced from 4 exons. The record is from RefSeq and is a predicted model, not a curated record.